UGUUUGUUUGCUAUAUCUUGAAAUGGCCCUGCAAAGCUGUCCUUUGUGAAGGAAAAUUUGCAUCUGUAAAGAAUCUCUAUUAACAUAGCUACACUUUUUUCUUCUAGACCCUCCCAAUCCCAAAGAGAUUAAAAGUCUAGCACCUUUUAAAGAACUAAAUAGAAAACAUUUGUCAUCUAUUAUCUCUAAGGGUAGCCACUAUAAGACUUAAAAAGAACCUUGGUCUCCACAAUCUUUCCUCUUAACCUGAACAUUUCCUUUCUAUGAUCCCAGGUCUGCAGAUAAACUCAACCAAUUGUGAACCAGAGAAAGUUUAAAUUUACCUGUAGCCUAGUAAAUAGCUCCCCCACUCCCCCGCCCCACCAACACACACCAACUCCUGCUUCGAAUUGUCCCACGUUUCUGGACCAAACUAAUGUAUUUCUUAAAUAUAUUUGAUUGAUGUCUCAUGCCUCCCUAAAAUGUAUAAAACCAAGCUGCACCCUGACCACCUUGGGCACAUGUUCUCAGGACCAUCUGAGGGCUGUGUCACAGGCCAUGGUCACUCAUAUUUGGCUCAGAAUAAAUUUCUUCAAAUAUUUUACAUAGUUUGACUCCUUUUGUUGACAAUGAGGACUUAUUAAAACUUUUGACAGAUUGAUCAACGCCCCCAAAAAUCCCAAAACAGGAUCAGUAUCCACUCUACCUGCAUCAUCUCUAGUAUUAUCAUGACUCACUCUAAUGCACUUAAAUAUCCAAGAUCAAAAAGUACCUACUGAGUCAGCAGGUUUUCAUGUUACAGGUAUGUAUCUAUAGAGCAGACCAGUGACAUUCUUGACAAUCUCCAAAUUCAAAACAACAAAAAGACUUAUGAAGAGCAAGGUGCAAAUUGAAAAUAACAUCUCACUGUAAUAUCUGUGUGUAGGUAUAACUAGGCUCACUCACUAAGUUACUUACUCCCUCAUGCAUACAAUGAAGGACAAAUAUAAUUCAAAUUUAUACCUAACAAAACUACAAAAUAUUCCCUGUUGUGGACCUACAAAGUAAUUGGCAAUGGCUGGACAAUACACAAGACAGAUUUUUAUUCUUAUAUAAUUGGUAAGGUGUUGGGGCUCAGAAAUCAAUACCCCAAAAUAUGGCACUUUGUACAUGCUGAAUUGAAAAAGAAUCCUCAAGGUCUUUCUGAUCGUCCCUGAUCCCCCAACCCCAUGCCUCUCUCCCUUAGACUAGAAUGAAGUUGUUAUCUGAAGUUCCUUUAUUUGACUAAAGGCUGGACCUACUAAGGUGAACAAUUGUCUUUUCUUUCCUUCCCUGUUAUCUCAUUAUCAAUGCAGAAAAAAAAAGACCAAGAAUGUAACCACACCUGAAAAUAUCCCUUCACAAGAUAAUGUCUGUCUCAGAAUAAUUUAAAUUCCAAAAAGAACUACUUACGGGUUAAACUAUGUCAGGCCUCUGAGCCCAAGCCAAGCCAUCGCAUCCCCUGUGACUUGCACAUAUACGCCCAGAUGGCCUGAAGUAACUGAAGAAUCACAAAAGAAGUGAAUAUGCCUUGCCCCACCUUAACUGAUGACAUUCCACCACAAAAGAAGUGUAAAUGGCCGGUCCUUGCCUUAAGUGAUAACAUUACCUUGUGAAAGUCCUUUUCCUGGCUCAUCCUGGCUCAAAAAGCACCCCCACUGAGCACCUUGCGACCCCCACUCCUGCCCGCCAGAGAACAAACCCCCUUUGACUGUAAUUUUCCUUUACCUACCCAAAUCCUAUAAAACGGCCCCACCCCUAUCUUCCUUCACUGACUCUCUUUUCGGACUCAGCCCGCCUGCACCCAGGUGAAAUAAACAGCCAUGUUGCUCACACAAAGCCUGUUUGGUGGUCUCUUCACACGGACGCGCAUGAAAUUUGGUACCGUGACUCGGAUCGGGGGACCUCCCUUGGGAGAUCAAUCCCCUGUCCUCCUGCUCUUUGCUCCGUGAGAAAGAUCCACCUAUGACCUCAGGUCCUCAGACCGACCAGCCCAAGGAACAUCUCACCAAUUUUAAAUCAGGUAAGCGGCCUCUUCUUACUUUCUUCUCCAACCUCUCUGUCCCUCAACCACUUUCUCCUUUCCACUCUUCAAUCUCUCCCUUCUCUUAAUUUCAAUUCCUUUCAUUUUCUGGGAGACACAAAGGAGACACAUUUUAUCCGUGGACCCAAAACUCCGGUGCCGGUCACGGACUGGGAAGGCAGUCUUCCCUUGGUGUUUAAUCAUUGCAGGGACGCCUCUCUGAUUAUACACCCACGUUUCAAGGGUGUCAGACCACACAGGGACGCCUGCCUUGGUCCUUCACCCUUAGCGGCAAGUCCCGCUUUUCUGGGGAAGGGGCAAGUACCUCAACCCCUUCUCUCCUUGUCUCUACCCCUUCUCUGCUUUUCUGGGAGAGGGGCAAGUACCCCUCAACCCCUUCUCCUUCACCCUUAGCAGCAAGUCCUGCUUUUCUAGGGGGCAAGAACCCCCAAUCCCUUAUUUCUGCACCCCAACCUCUUAUCUCUGCACCCCAAUCCCUUAUUUCCACACCCCGACCUCUUAUCUCUGCGCCCCAACCCCUUUUCCCACUUUUCUGGAAGGUAAGAACCCCCUGAACCCCUUCCCUCCAUUUCUCUACUCUCUCUUUUCUCUAGGCUUGCUUCCUUCACUAUGGGCAACCUUCCACCCUCCAUUCCUCCUUCUACUCCCUUGGCCUGUGUUCUCAAAAACUUAAAACCUCUUCAACUCACACCUGACCUAAAACCUAAAUGCCUUAUUUUCUUCUGCAAUGCUGCUUGAACCCAAUACAAACUUGACAGUAGUUCCAAAUAGCCAGAAAAUGGCACUUUGAAUUUUUCCAUCCUGCAAAAUCUAAAUAAUUCUUGUCAUAAAAUAGGCAAAUGGUCUGAGGUGCCUGACAUCCAGGCAUUCUUUUACACAUCAGUCCCUUCCUAGUCUCUGUGCCCAGUGCAACUCGUCCCAAAUCUUCCUUCUUUCCCUCCUGCCUGUCCCCUCAGUACCAACCCCAAGCGUCGCUGAGUCUUUCUAAUCUUCCUUUUCUACAGACCCAGACCCAUCUGACCUCUCCCUUCCUCCCCAGGCUGCUCUUCGCCAGGCCGAGCUAUGUCCCAAUUCUUCCUCAGCCUCUGCUCCUCCACCCUAUAAUCUUUUCAUCACCUCCCCUCCUCACACCUGGUCCAGCUUACAGUUUCAUUCCAUGACUAGCCCUCCCCCACCUGCCCAGCAAUUUACUCUUAAAAAGGUGGCUGGAGCUAAAGGCAUAGUCAAGGUUAAUGCUCCUUUUUCUUUAUCCCAAAUCACAUAGCGUUUAGGCUCUUUUUCAUCAAAUAUAAAAAUCCAGCCCAGUUCAUGGCUCGUUUGGCAACAACCCUGAGACGCUUUACAGCCCUAGACCCUAAAAGGUCAAAAGGCCGUCUUAUUCUCAAUAUACAUUUUAUUACCCAAUCUGCUCCCGACAUUAAAUAAAACUCCAAAAACUGGAAUCUGGCCCUCAAACCCCACAACAGGACUUAAUUAACCUCACCUUCAAGGUGUACAAUAACAGAAAAAAGUUGCAAUUCCUUGCCUCCACUGUGAGACAAACCCCAGCCACAUCUCCAGCACACAAGAACUUCCAAACUCCUGAACCGCAGCAGCCAGGCAUUCGUCCAGAACCCCCUCCCCCAGGAGCUUGCUACACAUGCCAGAAAUCUGGCCACUGGGCCAAGGAAUGCCCGCAGCCCGGGAUUCCUCCUAAGCCGCAUCCCAUCUGUGUGGGACCCCACUGAAAAUCGGACUGUUCAACUCACCUGGCAGCCACUCCCAGAACCCCUGGAACUCUGGCCCAAGGCUCUCUGACUGCUUCCCAGAUCUUCUUGGCUUAGCGGCUGAAGACUGACACUGCCCGAUCACCUCGGAAACCCCCUAGACCAUCACAGACGCCGAGCUUCAGGUAACUCUCACAGUGGAAGGUAAGCCCGUCCCCUUCUUAAUCAAUAUGGAGGCUACCCACUCCACAUUACCUUCUUUUCAAGGACCUGUUUCCCUUGCCUCCAUAACUGUCGUGGGUAUUGACGGCCAGGCUUCUAAACCUCUUAAAACUCCCCAACUCUGGUGCCAACUUAGAAAAUACUCUUUUAAGCACUCCUUUUUAGUUAUCCCCACCUGCCCAGUUCCCUUAUUAGGCUGAGACACUUUAACUAAAUUAUCUGCUUCCCUGACUAUUCCUGGACUACAGCUAUAUCUCAUUGCCGCCCUUCUUCCCAAUCCAAAGCCUCCUUUGUGUCCUCCUCUUGUAUCCCCCCACCUUAACCCACAAGUAUAAGAUACCUCUACUCCCUCCUUGGUGACCGAUCAUGCACCCUUUACCAUCUCAUUAAAACCUAAUCACCCUUACCCCACUCAAAGCCAAUAUCCCAUCCCGCAGCACGCUUUAAAAAGAUUAAAGCUUGUUAUCACUCACCUGCUACAGCAUGGCCUUUUAAAGCCUAUAAACUCUCCGCACAAUUCCCCCAUGUUACCUGUCCUAAAACCAGACAAGCCUUACAAGUUAGUUCAGGAUCUCCAUCUUAUCAACCAAAUUGUUUUGCCUAUCCACCCUGUGGUGCCCAACCCGUACACUCUUUUGUCCUCAAUACCUUCCUCCACAACUCACUAUUCCAUGCUUGAUCUUAAAGAUGCUUUUUUCACUAUUCCCCUGCACCCCUCAUCCCAGCCUCUCUUCUUUCACUUAGACUGACCCUGACACCCAUUAGGCUCAGCAAAUUUCCUAGGCUGUACUGCCGCAAGGCUUCACAGGCAGCCCCCAUUACUUCAGUCAAGCCCAAAUUUCAUCCUCAUCUGUUACCUAUCUCGGCAUAAUUCUCAUAAAAACAUACGUGCUUUCCCUGCUGAUCGUGUCCGAUUAAUCUCCCAAACCUCAAUCCCUUACAAAACAACAACUCCUUUCCUUCCUAGGCAUAGUGUGGUCAGAAUUCUUACACAAGAGCCAGGACCACACCCUGUAGCCUUUCUGUGCAAAGAACUUGACCUUACUGUUUUAGCCUAGCCCUCAUGUCUGCGUGCAGCGGCUGCCGCUGCUUUAAUACUUUUAGAGGCCCUCAAAAUCACAGACUAUGCUCAACUCACUCUCUACACUUCUCAUAACUUCCAAAAUCUAUUUUCUUCCUCAUACCUGAUGCAUAUACUUUCUGCUCCCUGGCUCCUUCAGCUGUACUCACUCUUUAAGUCCCACAAUUACCAUUGUUCCUGGCCUGGACUUCAGUCUGGCCUUGCACAUUAUUCCUGAUACCACACCUGACCCCCAUGACUGUAUCUUUCUGAUCCACCUGAUAUUCACCCCAUUUCCCCAUAUUUCCUUCUUCUUUCCUGUUCCUCACCCUGAUCAUGCUUGAUUUAUUGAUAGCGGUUCCACCAGGCCUAAUCGCCACACACCAGCAAAGGCAGGUUAUACUAUAGUACAAGCCACUAGCCCCCCGCCUCUUAGAACCUCUCAUUUCCUUUCCAUCGUGGAAGUCUAUCCUCAAGGAAAUAACUUCUCAGUGUUCCAUCUGCUAUUCUACUACUCCUCAGGGAUUAUUCAGGCCCCCUCCCUUCCCUACACAUCAAGCUCCAGGAUUUGCCCCACCCAGGACUGGCAAAUUAGCUUUACUCAACAUGCCCAAGUCAGGAAACUAAAAUACCUCUUAGUCUAGGUAGACAUUUUCACUGGAUAGGUAGAGGCCUUUCCUACAGGGUCUGAGAAGGCCACCGCAGUCAUUUCUUCCGUUCUGUCAGACAUAAUUCCUCAGUUUAGCCUUCCCACCUCAAUACAGUCUGAUAACAGAUAAGCCUUUAUUAGUCAAAUCAGCCAAGCAGUUUUUCAGGCUCUUAGUAUUCAGUGAAACCUUUAUAUCCCUUACGGUCCUCCGUCUUCAAGAAAAGUAGAAUGGACUAAAGGCCUUUUAAAAACACACCUCACCAAGCUCAGCCACCAAAAAGGACUGGACAAUACUUUUACCACUUUCCCUUCUCAGAAUUCAGGCCUGUCCUCGGAAUGCUACAGGGUACAGCCCAUUUAAGCCCCUGUAUAGACGCUCCUUUUUAUUAGGCCCCAGUCUCAUUCCAGACACCAGACCAACUUAGACAGUGCCCCAAAAAACUUGUCAUCCCUACUAUCUUCUGUCUAGUCAUACUCCUAUUCACCGUUCUCAACUACUCAUACAUGCCCUGCUCUUGUUUACACUGCCAGUUUACACUGUUUUUCCAAGCCAUCACAGCUGAUAUCUCCCGGUGCUAUCGCCAAACUGCCACUCUUAACUCUUGAACUAAAUAAAUAAUCUUUGCUGGCAGGACUAUGCUGAAUCUCCUUAGGCACUCUCUAAUCAGAUGCCCUAGGUCCUCCCAAUUCUUAGACCUUUUAUACCUGUCUUUCUCCUUCUGUUAUUCCAUUUAGUUUCUCAAUUCAUCCAAAACCGUAUCCAGGCCAUCACCAAUCAUUCUAUACGACAAAUGUUUCUUCUAACAUCCCCACAGUAUCACCACUUACCUCAAGGCCUCCCUUCAGCUUAAUCUCUCCCACUCUAGGUUCCCACGCCGCCCCUAACCCCACUCGAAGCAGCCCUGAGAAACAUCGCCCAUUCUCUCUCCAUACCACCCCCCAAAAAUUUUCGCUGCCCCAACACUUCAACACUAUUUUGUUUUAUUUUUCUUAUUAAUAUAAGAAGGCAGGAAUGUCGGACCUCUGAGCCCAAGCCAAGCCAUCGCAUCCCCUGUGACUUGCACAUAUACGCCCAGAUGGCCUGAAGUAACUGAAGAAUCACAAAAGAAGUGAAUAUGCCUUGCCCCACCUUAACUAAUGACAUUCCACCACAAAAGAAGUGUAAAUGGCCGGUCCUUGCCUUAAGUGAUAACAUUACCUUGUGAAAGUCCUUUUCCUGGCUUAUCCUGGCUCAAAAAGCACCCCCACUGAGCACCUUGCGACCCCCCCACUCCUGCCCACCAGAGAACAACCCUCCUUUGACUGUAAUUUUCCUUUACCUACCCACAUCCUAUAAAACAGCCCCACCCCUAUCUCCGUUCGCUGACUCUCUUUUCGGACUCAGCCCGCCUGCACCCAGGUGAAAUAAACAGCCAUGUUGCUCACACAAAGCCUGUUUGGUGGUCUCUUCACACGGACACGCAUGAAACUCUGUUCCUCAAUUCAUUCAUUCUCCCUAGUAAUCAUUUAUUGCCCCCCACCAACAGAAUUUUUCUCCCAUUCCCAUAACCUGCUUUGCCAGAAUCCAAGCCCCCAUUCUUUCAGUAACCUCAAGAUGGUAUAUAAAUUUCUGCACCCCAUUGGGAGUGGAUCUUCAUUUUGAAGGCUCCCAUGUACAUGUUAAAUACAUUUGUAUGUCUUUUCUCCUACUAAUCUGCCUCUUGUCAGUUAUUUUCAGAGAACUUUCAGAGGGUAAAGAAGUUUUCCCUUGGCCCCAACAUUGUUCAGUUACUGAAUACUGAUUAACCAUUCAUUAUAAUUUUUUUAAAAAGACCUUUGUGAAAGAAUAGAAAUAUCCUAAAUACUCACAGUUUGUUUAUUGUGUUGCCAGUGGAGGGUCUUGACUACGAGUUGUCCAGGUCCUUCGCAUUUUAAACAAAUAAUUGAACAAAACGCACUAAGUAGCAGAGGCAUGAAAUGCGGGGAUGAAGCAGCGAAAGCAGGAAUUUAUGAAAUCGAGAAAGCACUCCGCAGGGUGGCAGUGGGCCCGAGCAAGUGGCUUAAGAGCCCAGUUACAAACUUUUCCAGGCUUUAAGUACCCCCUUUGAGGUUCUUAUCGGCUACCCCUUAUCUGGAUGAAAGAUUUGGUCUGUGGCUAAAGGCUGAGGUGAAUUGGUGCCCUAUGCAGAUAAAGGGAUGGUCUCUGGUUGGCCUGCGGCCAGUCUAAGGCACUCUCCUUUCCCAUCUGAGAUGUGGUGGAAGGGGAAGGAUUUUAGGGAGAGUAGCCUUUGAUCCCUUGUUACUAGGCAUGGGGAAAUUGGGUUUUUCUAUUUUGGUUUAGCUUUAAGAAGUUUGUGUUAAUUGGCCUUAGAUUGCCUGCCCCCAGACCCAGGUGUUUUCCUUUUGAUCCAGCUUUGGGAAGUCAGUGCAAAUUGGCCUUAGAUUUCCUGCCCCCAGACCUUGGUGUUAUUUCUUUUAGGAAGUUAGCACAAAUUGGCCUUAAGUUCCCUGUCUCCAGACCCUAUUCUCCUGCCUCAAUUGUACACGUUGAGAUAGACUUCUGAUAUUUUUGUGGCCUAUUUCUCACUGGAGCACACACUUUUAACUUGGUUGCUGUAAACCAAAACUAAAAUUCUAAGCCCCUCAACCAUCUGAAUUGACCUCUCCUCUUGGCCAAGGGAAUUCCAAAGUUAACCUGAAAAACUAGAUCAGGCCAUGAUGGGAAGCUGGGGUUGGAUAUGCCACAUUAUUCCCUCCUCCCUUUUGGAAUUCAGGCACAGCUGACCAGCGUUAACAUUAAAACAGAUCUUAAGACUGACAAAGCAGACUCUUUAUAGCAAUGAGACACCAAAUUCCAGCCUGACUCUAGUAUAGCAUCACAUGAAAGAUACGAGACCCUGAAAUAAGUCAAAGUAUUUUACCCCAAAUAUGUUUCUUUGUCAUAUCUUGAAAUAGUCCUGCAAAGCCAUCUCUUGAGGGGAAAAUAUACAUUCUGAAGAGAAUCAUCUGUCUUUUCCAGGACUUUUUCCUUGUCCAGGAGAGAAUCAACUCUGAUAAGAAACAUUUACAAUCUAUUUUCUCUGAAGCUUGCUACCUGGAGGCUUCCCCUAUGUAACAGGAACCUUGGUCUCCACAACCCGUUAUCUCAAUCCAGACAUCCCCUUCUAUUGAUUCUGGGUUUUUAGACAAUAACUUACCUCUUUCAACCAAUUGCCAAUCAGAAAAUCUUUGAAUCUACUCAUGACCUGGAAGUCCCCCAUUGCUCUGAGUUGUCCCACCUUUCUGUACUGAACUGUUGCAGGAAAAGGGUCCUGAUACAGAUUUCAAGAGAUGGCUCUUGGAUCUUGCACAAGAAAGAAUCUGGGGCAAGUCCACAGAGUAAAAUGAAAGCAAGUUUAUUAAGAAAGUAAAGGAAUGGAAGAACAGCUACUCCACAGACAGAGCAGGGCAUUCUCAAAAGCAAGAGGAGGAACACGCUCACCUUAGGUACAAUGCUUGUUUAUUUAUAAGAAAACAAAGCAAAAAAUCAUGGGAGAGAUGUGCUCUACUACAGGCGCUGUGACAAAGGAUUGUUAAUCUUUGUGUAACUACUGUCUUCUGCAUGAAUACAUUUUAUAAUCAUUAAAGUGAAACUUAUUCUUAAAGUAAGGAUGCUUUUGUUCUUAAGAUAUCGGGACAUCAGGACAUUGCCUUUGUCUGUUAUUUCCUGGGUCUGUUAAGUUUGGGGUCUAUUUUAUAAACAUUAUUAACUUGUUUCCUUAACUAUAAUAUCCUGUGACUAAGAAUGCCUAACCUGCUGGGAAUGUGGCCCAGCAGGUCUCAACCUCAUUUUACCCAGCCUCUAUUCAAGAUGGAGUCGCUCUGGUUGAAAUGCCUCUGAUAGAACCAAUGUACAUCUUACAUAUAUUGAUUGAUGUAUUAUGUCUCCCUAAAAUGUAUAAAACCAAACUGUAGCCCGACCACCUUGGGAACAGCUUCUCAGGCUCUCCUGAGGGCUGUGUCAUGGGCCAUUGGUCACUCAUAUUUGGCUCAGAAUAAAUCUCUUCAAAUAUUGUGCAGAAUUUGACUCUUUUUGUCAGCAGUGCACAUAAUUUAACUGCCCUGAGUUUUUGCAUUUGGAUAUUGUAUCUAUAUUUUUCCCAAAUUUAAACGAUUUACUUGUUCGUUGGUGAAACUGAACUGUUAUCUUAGCAAACAACACUUGGAAAAACCUUUCGUCAAAAUGCCCUGCAUUUUUCUGUGUAGGAAUCCUAUAGGAAGUACACUGUGAAAACUAACAAAAUAUAUUAAGUGACUAUGUUGAAAGAUUAUAUACCUAGUAGAGAGAUCAGGAAAUAUGACAUGAAAAUAUUUUGUUUUUUUAGCUAUGUGUAAAACUGUAAGUUAACAAGAUAAGAUUAAUUUUAAUUUCAGCCUUCUUUAGUGGAGUUGAGGCAUUCCACAUGUUCCAUCAUAGCUGAUCCAGAUACAGAAACUACAAAGAAAUACAGUGCAUAUGAAGCAACCCAAGGUCAGAGGACUUAGGAGAAGAGAGGCAAGCUUGUGAAUAACCAGGACUUUACCAUGAAGAGAGCAACUCACUGUAUUAAGCAAUAUUUAUUGAACCUACCGUUAAAAGAAAAACCUUAGACAAAUUAAAUUUAGCAGAGUUUAAUUGAGCAAAGAAUGAUUCGUGAAUUGGGAAGCCUCUGAACCAAAAUAGGUUCAGAGAGGAUCCAGCCUGCCUUAUGGUGGAAGAAGAUUUGUGGACAGAAAAAGGAAAGUGAAGUACAGAAAUGGAAGUGAGGUAUAGAAACAGCCAGAUUGGCUACAGCUUGCUGUUUGUCUUAUUUGAACAUGGUUUGAACAGUUGGCUGUCCUCUAUUGGCUAAAACUCAGGGACUGGCACAAGAGUAGGUUACAGUCUGUUUACACAUCAAGUUAGGUUAUAGUUCACUGUGUAUGGAGAAACCUUUAAAAUAUGUAAAGAGGUGGCUUUUGGCUAAACUUAAUUAAACACUACUAUGUGAAACAUUGUGUAAUACUGAAUUCUAUUAUAUUCUUUAAAACCUUUCUUCUGCCUUUUUUUUUUUUUUUUUUUUCUGAGACGGAGUCUUGCUCUGUCACCCAGGCUGGAGUGUAGUGGCACGAUCUUGGCUCACUGCAACCUUUGCCUCCCAGAUUCAAGCAAUUCUCCUCCCCCAGCCUCCUGAGUAGCUAGGUUUACAGGAGCCCACCACUGCGUCCAGCUAAUUUUUGUAUUUUUAGUAGAGACAGGGUUUCACCACGUUGGCCAGGCUGGUCUCGAACUCCUGACCUCGUGACCCUCCCACCUCGGGCUCCCAAAGUGCUGGGAUUACAGGUAUGAGAAACUGUGCCCAGCCUCUUCUGCCUUUUUUUAUUGUAGGAAAAUGUAUGUAAAUUUACAUAAAAUUUACGAAAAUUUACAUCAAAAAUUUACAUAACUUAAACUCACCAUUUUAACCAUUCUAAAGUAUAAAAUUCAGUGACAUUUAGUACAUUUACAGUGUUGUGUAAUCAUCACCCCUAUCUAGAUUCAAAAUAUUUCCAUCGCCCUCUAAAACAACUCCCAAGAUACUAUUUGCUCCACUAUUCAGAAAAUAUCAUGCAAAGGAAAUCAAACAAAAUGCAGCCUUUUUUGUCUAGCUUUUUUCACUUAGCAUGUUUUUAAAGUUCAUCCACAUUUCAGCAUGUGUUUUUUUUUUUUUUUAGACAGAGUUUCGUUCUUGUUGCCCAGGCUGGAGUGCAGUGGUGCAAUCUCAGCUCACUGCAACCUCCAUCUCCCAGGGUCAAACGAUUCUCCUACCUCAGCCUCCCAAGUAGCUGAGAUUACAGGCAUUUGCCUCCAUGCCCAGCUAAUUUUGUAUUUUUAGUAGAGGUGGGGGUUCACCAUGUUGGUCAGGCUGGUCUUGAAUUCCUAACCUCAGGUGAUCCACCCACUUCAGCCUCCCAAAGUGCUGGGAUUACAGGCGUGAGCCACUGUGCCCGGCCCACUUCAUUUCUUUUUAAGACCAAAUGAUAUUUUAUUAAAUAGAUAAACCUUAUUUUUGUCUAUCCAUUUAUAAGUUAAUGAACAUUCACUUUUUGACUAUUGUGAAUACUGCUCUUAUGAAUACCUUUGUACAAUGUUUUGGAUUUUUUUCUUUUUUCUUUCUUUUUUUUCCUUUGUGUUUACCCUGUCAGAACUAAGCAGAGGGAAGCAGAAAAAGCAUAGGCCAGGACAAGUUGUACAAGUUUUCGUAUGAACAAAAAGACAGAGAUAACAAGUAUUCGCAAGGAUUUGAAGAAAAGCAAACUCUUAUAAACUCUUGGUGGAAAUAUAAACUGAUAUAGCCAUUAUUAAUAGUAUAGAGGUUCCUCAUAAAACUAAAAAUAGGACUACCAUAUGAUUCAGCAAUUCCACCACUGGGUACAUAUCUAAAGGACAUGAAAUCUGUGUAUCUGUGCUCUUAUAUUCAUUGUAGCAUUCUUCACAAUAAAUAAGAUCCAAACUAAGUGUCGAUCAAUAGAUGAAAAUAUGAUAUGUGUGUGUACAUGUAGUAAUAUGUAUGUAUGUAUGCAUAAUAUAUAUAUAAUAUGUAUAAAUGUCAUAAAUACAUAGAUAUACAGAAUGAAAUGAUAUUCAGCCAUAAAAUAGAAGGAAAUCUUUCCAUUAGUGACAAUGUGGGGAUGAACCUGGAGGACAUCAUACUAAGUGAAAUAAGCCAGACACAGACAAAUACUGCGUGAUCUCACUUAUAUAUGAGGUCUUUUUCUUAACUCAGUAGUUACUUGGUUGCUGUAAACCUUUGUUUAUUUUUAAGAGUUCCAAAAAGGUUGAUUUUCACAGUUCUUGCUCAAUUUUUUCUGAGUUUCAUUGAGGAUAUGAGCCCUUGGAGCUCUCUCCUCCACCAUUUGAACUCUCUGAUCUUUUUGUACAAGUAGCCGAUGGUUGACAAGAUAUGAUCUGGAGGGAGAGCACAAGGAAUGUUCAGAGAUUAUAUGACUUACUUUUGCUUGUACAACAUUUUAGCACUUACGGAGCAUUUUCAUGUGGUGAAUACAUAAAGAAGUUUGCCACAUGUGACCGUCAUUAUAGUUCAUAUUUUUGAAGGUAAAGUCAUCCUUUUUGACAUUAAUAAUGAAGGCUUAAGAGGAAAGUGUGAGUUUACUAGAGAAUCUAUACAUAGAAAAAGAUCAAAAGUCUAGUUAGAUUUGCAUGAGAAUCUAGAGGUAUAAAAAGUAUUGUUUUCGAUUGAGGGUCUCUGGAACCAGGUGCUAAGAUUUGGAAGGGAGGAAAAGGAUGGAGAAUUCACACAGGAUGAAGUCUAACUGUGGUGCAGACCCCAUAAACUUUUAAUCAUUUCCACCAGGAGCUAUGUAGCUUAUGUUUGUCCCAGCGUGGACCAGAAUGAUUGGAAGUUUACACCCAACUUCAGUCACUGCAUAUUCCACUGGAAGCAUAUGACCUCACACGGGAUGAUUCCCUGUGGUUGAGGCACCAGCUAGAGGAGUUGACGGUUAGGGCAACAAGGGUGACAGUUUGGAUGUGUGUCCCCUCCAAAUCUCAUGUUGAAAUGUGAUCCCCAAUGUUGGAGGUGGGGUCUGGUGGGAAUUGUUGGAUCAUGGGGGUGGAUCCCUCAUGAAUGGCUUAGUGCCAUCCCUUUUGUGAUGAGUGAGUUCUCACUCAGUUAGUUCACAGGAUGUCUGGUUGUUUCAGAGUGUGGCAAUUCCUCCUCCUCUCUUUCUUGUUCCCUCUUGCCACGUGAUAUGCUGCCUCCCCAUUUGCCUUCUGCCAUGAUUGUAAGCUCCCUGAGGCCCUAACCAGGAGGAGAUGCCAACAACAUGCUUCUUGUAUUGCCUACAGAACAGUGAACCAAUUAAACCUCUUUUCCUUGUAAAUUACCAAGCCUCAGGUAUUUUUUUAUAGCAACACAAAACAGCUUAAUACAAUAUUCUUCUUUGAAGGCCUUGAAUGACACAUCUUUGAGUCUACCAUAAGUAAAAUUUGUAGUCUGUAUUGUGUACGUGUUAAUAUGGAUGGCACUAUUCCACAUGCAAAUAGCAUUCUGAGGAGAGAUGUAUAAUACAAACUUUAAGUUGAUGUACAGACAUUAAAA
RNAcentral lists this long non-coding RNA (13756 nucleotides) under Homo sapiens (human). RNAcentral describes it as "HSALNT0286125". Lineage: Eukaryota; Metazoa; Chordata; Mammalia; Primates; Hominidae. The record is from RNAcentral.